RNAcentral lists this ribosomal RNA (2904 nucleotides) under Escherichia coli KTE103. Its description in RNAcentral is "bacterial LSU rRNA". It matches the Rfam family "Bacterial large subunit ribosomal RNA". Lineage: Bacteria; Pseudomonadati; Pseudomonadota; Gammaproteobacteria; Enterobacterales; Enterobacteriaceae. The record is from RNAcentral.
UUAAGCGACUAAGCGUACACGGUGGAUGCCCUGGCAGUCAGAGGCGAUGAAGGACGUGCUAAUCUGCGAUAAGCGUCGGUAAGGUGAUAUGAACCGUUAUAACCGGCGAUUUCCGAAUGGGGAAACCCAGUGUGUUUCGACACACUAUCAUUAACUGAAUCCAUAGGUUAAUGAGGCGAACCGGGGGAACUGAAACAUCUAAGUACCCCGAGGAAAAGAAAUCAACCGAGAUUCCCCCAGUAGCGGCGAGCGAACGGGGAGCAGCCCAGAGCCUGAAUCAGUGUGUGUGUUAGUGGAAGCGUCUGGAAAGGCGCGCGAUACAGGGUGACAGCCCCGUACACAAAAAUGCACAUGCUGUGAGCUCGAUGAGUAGGGCGGGACACGUGGUAUCCUGUCUGAAUAUGGGGGGACCAUCCUCCAAGGCUAAAUACUCCUGACUGACCGAUAGUGAACCAGUACCGUGAGGGAAAGGCGAAAAGAACCCCGGCGAGGGGAGUGAAAAAGAACCUGAAACCGUGUACGUACAAGCAGUGGGAGCACGCUUAGGCGUGUGACUGCGUACCUUUUGUAUAAUGGGUCAGCGACUUAUAUUCUGUAGCAAGGUUAACCGAAUAGGGGAGCCGAAGGGAAACCGAGUCUUAACUGGGCGUUAAGUUGCAGGGUAUAGACCCGAAACCCGGUGAUCUAGCCAUGGGCAGGUUGAAGGUUGGGUAACACUAACUGGAGGACCGAACCGACUAAUGUUGAAAAAUUAGCGGAUGACUUGUGGCUGGGGGUGAAAGGCCAAUCAAACCGGGAGAUAGCUGGUUCUCCCCGAAAGCUAUUUAGGUAGCGCCUCGUGAAUUCAUCUCCGGGGGUAGAGCACUGUUUCGGCAAGGGGGUCAUCCCGACUUACCAACCCGAUGCAAACUGCGAAUACCGGAGAAUGUUAUCACGGGAGACACACGGCGGGUGCUAACGUCCGUCGUGAAGAGGGAAACAACCCAGACCGCCAGCUAAGGUCCCAAAGUCAUGGUUAAGUGGGAAACGAUGUGGGAAGGCCCAGACAGCCAGGAUGUUGGCUUAGAAGCAGCCAUCAUUUAAAGAAAGCGUAAUAGCUCACUGGUCGAGUCGGCCUGCGCGGAAGAUGUAACGGGGCUAAACCAUGCACCGAAGCUGCGGCAGCGACGCUUAUGCGUUGUUGGGUAGGGGAGCGUUCUGUAAGCCUGCGAAGGUGUGCUGUGAGGCAUGCUGGAGGUAUCAGAAGUGCGAAUGCUGACAUAAGUAACGAUAAAGCGGGUGAAAAGCCCGCUCGCCGGAAGACCAAGGGUUCCUGUCCAACGUUAAUCGGGGCAGGGUGAGUCGACCCCUAAGGCGAGGCCGAAAGGCGUAGUCGAUGGGAAACAGGUUAAUAUUCCUGUACUUGGUGUUACUGCGAAGGGGGGACGGAGAAGGCUAUGUUGGCCGGGCGACGGUUGUCCCGGUUUAAGCGUGUAGGCUGGUUUUCCAGGCAAAUCCGGAAAAUCAAGGCUGAGGCGUGAUGACGAGGCACUACGGUGCUGAAGCAACAAAUGCCCUGCUUCCAGGAAAAGCCUCUAAGCAUCAGGUAACAUCAAAUCGUACCCCAAACCGACACAGGUGGUCAGGUAGAGAAUACCAAGGCGCUUGAGAGAACUCGGGUGAAGGAACUAGGCAAAAUGGUGCCGUAACUUCGGGAGAAGGCACGCUGAUAUGUAGGUGAAGUCCCUUGCGGAUGGAGCUGAAAUCAGUCGAAGAUACCAGCUGGCUGCAACUGUUUAUUAAAAACACAGCACUGUGCAAACACGAAAGUGGACGUAUACGGUGUGACGCCUGCCCGGUGCCGGAAGGUUAAUUGAUGGGGUUAGCCGCAAGGCGAAGCUCUUGAUCGAAGCCCCGGUAAACGGCGGCCGUAACUAUAACGGUCCUAAGGUAGCGAAAUUCCUUGUCGGGUAAGUUCCGACCUGCACGAAUGGCGUAAUGAUGGCCAGGCUGUCUCCACCCGAGACUCAGUGAAAUUGAACUCGCUGUGAAGAUGCAGUGUACCCGCGGCAAGACGGAAAGACCCCGUGAACCUUUACUAUAGCUUGACACUGAACAUUGAGCCUUGAUGUGUAGGAUAGGUGGGAGGCUUUGAAGUGUGGACGCCAGUCUGCAUGGAGCCGACCUUGAAAUACCACCCUUUAAUGUUUGAUGUUCUAACGUUGACCCGUAAUCCGGGUUGCGGACAGUGUCUGGUGGGUAGUUUGACUGGGGCGGUCUCCUCCUAAAGAGUAACGGAGGAGCACGAAGGUUGGCUAAUCCUGGUCGGACAUCAGGAGGUUAGUGCAAUGGCAUAAGCCAGCUUGACUGCGAGCGUGACGGCGCGAGCAGGUGCGAAAGCAGGUCAUAGUGAUCCGGUGGUUCUGAAUGGAAGGGCCAUCGCUCAACGGAUAAAAGGUACUCCGGGGAUAACAGGCUGAUACCGCCCAAGAGUUCAUAUCGACGGCGGUGUUUGGCACCUCGAUGUCGGCUCAUCACAUCCUGGGGCUGAAGUAGGUCCCAAGGGUAUGGCUGUUCGCCAUUUAAAGUGGUACGCGAGCUGGGUUUAGAACGUCGUGAGACAGUUCGGUCCCUAUCUGCCGUGGGCGCUGGAGAACUGAGGGGGGCUGCUCCUAGUACGAGAGGACCGGAGUGGACGCAUCACUGGUGUUCGGGUUGUCAUGCCAAUGGCACUGCCCGGUAGCUAAAUGCGGAAGAGAUAAGUGCUGAAAGCAUCUAAGCACGAAACUUGCCCCGAGAUGAGUUCUCCCUGACCCUUUAAGGGUCCUGAAGGAACGUUGAAGACGACGACGUUGAUAGGCCGGGUGUGUAAGCGCAGCGAUGCGUUGAGCUAACCGGUACUAAUGAACCGUGAGGCUUAACCUU